RNAcentral lists this small nucleolar RNA (106 nucleotides) under Drechmeria coniospora. Its description in RNAcentral is "A. fumigatus snoRNA Afu_514". It matches the Rfam family "A. fumigatus snoRNA Afu_514". Lineage: Eukaryota; Fungi; Ascomycota; Sordariomycetes; Hypocreales; Ophiocordycipitaceae. The record is from Rfam by way of RNAcentral.
UUUAAUGAUGAGGUAAUUUGCGAUUGAUUCCUACCGAUGACUCUCUUUCGCCGGAGCAGUUAAAUCGAAAGGAUAGUUGAUAUUUAAUUUCUUACAUAUUCUGACA